AACAAACGCUGGCGGCGUGCCUAAUACAUGCAAGUCGAACGGGGAAAGUAGCAAUACGAGUACUAGUGGCGCACGGGUGAGGAAUACAUGGGUAAUCUGCCCUCGAGCUCGGGAUAACCAGUCGAAAGACUGGCUAAUACCGGAUAUGACCACAAGAUCUGAGGAUCAAGGGGUAAAAGGUUUUUCGCUUGAGGAUGAGCCCAUGUGGGAUUAGCUAGUUGGUGUAGGUAACGGCUCACCAAGGCGACGAUCCCUAACUGGUCUUAGAGGAUGAUCAGUCACACUGGAACUGAGACACGGUCCAGACUCCUACGGGAGGCAGCAGUAGGGAAUAUUGCACAAUGGAGGAAACUCUGAUGCAGCGACGCCGCGUGAGUGAUGAAGGCCUUCGGGUCGUAAAGCUCUGUCGUAUGGGACUAACAAAAUAGAAGGUACCAUGCAAGAAAGGAUACGGCGUAACUUCGUGCCAGCAGCCGCGGUAA
This 482-nucleotide ribosomal RNA is filed under the name uncultured bacterium. RNAcentral's name for it is "bacterial SSU rRNA". It matches the Rfam family "Bacterial small subunit ribosomal RNA", at positions 29 to 523 of the family's 1533-position model. The record is from RNAcentral.